CACGGUUGCCACGGGAGUCCGGGUCCACCGGGCUGAGAGGCGGGUUCGCCCGCGACCGUUCGCACCUGAUCCGGAUCAUGCCGGCGCAGGGAGGGCCCCGACCUUUCUCG
Molecule: non-coding RNA, 110 nt
Filed under: Amycolatopsis methanolica
Lineage: Bacteria; Bacillati; Actinomycetota; Actinomycetes; Pseudonocardiales; Pseudonocardiaceae
Also listed under: 1 other name
Description: TPP sequence
Rfam family: TPP riboswitch aptamer (THI element)
About the family: Vitamin B(1) in its active form thiamin pyrophosphate (TPP) is an essential coenzyme that is synthesised by coupling of pyrimidine and thiazole moieties in bacteria. The previously detected thiamin-regulatory element, thi box was extended, resulting in a new, highly conserved RNA secondary structure, the THI element, which is widely distributed in eubacteria and also occurs in some archaea.
Source: RNAcentral